RNAcentral lists this ribosomal RNA (410 nucleotides) under uncultured eukaryote. Its description in RNAcentral is "partial 18S ribosomal RNA". It matches the Rfam family "Eukaryotic small subunit ribosomal RNA", at positions 755 to 1123 of the family's 1831-position model. The record is from RNAcentral.
CUUUAAGCAGAUUGUAUUUUUUUUACAAAAAUCAAUUUAAAAAUGUUUGAAUAAUUUAGCAUAGAAAUAAAAUAAUAAGAUUUAGAAAGAUAAGAUUUGGUAAUUAUGUAGCAAAUAAUGAUAAAUAGGAAUAGUUGGGGGUAUUUGUAUUGAAUAGUCAGAGGUGAAAUUCAAGGAUUUGUUCAAGACAAACAUCAGCGAAAGCAUUUACCAAAGAUAUUUCCAUUAAUCAAGAACGAAAGUUAGGGGGAUCGAAGAUGAUCAGAUACCGUCGUAGUCCUAACCAUAAACAAUACCAACCAAAGAUAAGAGGUUGUAAAAUAACACUGUUAAAUUUUUUUUAAGAGUGUUAAACCAACUCCUUUUGAAUUUUAGAGGGAAACCAUUGAGUAUUUGGGUUCUGGGGGGAG